Molecule: ribosomal RNA, 759 nt
Filed under: uncultured bacterium
Lineage: Bacteria
Description: bacterial SSU rRNA
Rfam family: Bacterial small subunit ribosomal RNA
Source: RNAcentral
AGAGUUUGAUCAUGGCUCAGGAUGAACGCUGGCGGUAUGCUUAACACAUGCAAGUCGAACGGAUGUUUUCGGACAUUAGUGGCGGACGGGUGAGUAACGCGUGAGAAUCUAGCUUCAGGUUGGGGACAACAGUUGGAAACGACUGCUAAUACCGAAUAUGCCGAGAGGUGAAAGAUUAAUUGCCUGAAGAAGAGCUCGCGUCUGAUUAGCUAGUUGGUGGGGUAAGAGCUUACCAAGGCGACGAUCGGUAGCUGGUCUGAGAGGACGAUCAGCCACACUGGGACUGAGACACGGCCCAGACUCCUACGGGAGGCAGCAGUGGGGAAUUUUCCGCAAUGGGCGAAAGCCUGACGGAGCAAUACCGCGUGAGGGAAGAAGGCUCUUGGGUUGUAAACCUCUUUUCUUAGGGAAGAAAAAAAUGACGGUACCUAAGGAAUAAGCAUCGGCUAACUCCGUGCCAGCAGCCGCGGUAAUACGGAGGAUGCAAGCGUUAUCCGGAAUGAUUGGGCGUAAAGCGUCCGCAGGUGGUUUAUCAAGUUUGCGGUUAAAGGUUCUGGCUCAACCAGAGACAGGCCGUGAAAACUGAUAGACUAGAGUAUGGUAGGGGCAGAGGGAAUUCCCAGUGUAGCGGUGAAAUGCGUAGAGAUUGGGAAGAACACCGGUGGCGAAAGCGCUCUGCUAGGCCAAAACUGACACUGAGGGACGAAAGCUAGGGGAGCGAAUGGGAUUAGAUACCCCAGUAGUCCUAGCCGUAAACGA